GGUGACGGUGUGGGGCCGCCUGAUUGGAGACCGCCUCCCGCCCGCCAGCCGGGCUUCCUCCGGGCCGGCGGCGGGGACGUCGCGGGGCGCCCCUGCAGCCUCAGGCUGGCUGGGGCGUGGCUGUCCUCGCUUUGCUGAGAGCAUUCGAACCGCAGCGUUUGGCCGCUGGCGGGCGGGCGGCCUCUCGCCCGGGCAGGGCCCCCGCAGCUCUGCGGUCCGGGGCGCCGCGCCCGCGGGACGGCCAGUGAGCCGUGACUGUAACCGCGCGGGGCUGCGGCUGUGACAGUAAAAAAGGGGAGCGGGGGAGGACAGUGGGAGAAAGACAGGACUCCCCUGGGUGCUGGCGACAGGCCUGAGGAAAUGAUGCCGCCGGAUUCAAAUUAUCCAAACAUCCAGGCCGACUCAGAAUUUAAAAGUGGCUCUUAAGACUUACAAAAGGGUGUAGCAGGGUUAUUUGUUAUCGCAAAAAAAAAAAAAAAAAAAAAACAGUGCCUCAGGGGUCCAUCAACAGAAAAUGGAUAAACGGACAAAAAGGCUUAUUUCUACAGUGAAAUAGUACACAAUUGAGAAAAAAUUACAGGCAAUAUUGAUGAAUAUCUAAAACAUGUGUUUUAGGCUGAUUCCUAAAUAAGAGAUGGCUCUUUUUCUGGCUUCAUUAAGUAUGACUUCAUUAAGAUUAAAAAAAAACUUCUCUCCAAAGACAUUAUUACAAG
Long non-coding RNA from Pipistrellus kuhlii (Kuhl's pipistrelle), 713 nucleotides. RefSeq lists it as uncharacterized. NCBI's taxonomy places the organism in Eukaryota, Metazoa, Chordata, Mammalia, Chiroptera, Vespertilionidae. The transcript is spliced from 2 exons. The record is from RefSeq and is a predicted model, not a curated record.